UGGGGAUGUAGCUCAGUUGGGAGAGCACCUGCCUUGCAAGCAGGGGGUCGAGAGUUCGAAUCUCUUCAUCUCCAU
RNAcentral lists this transfer RNA (75 nucleotides) under Blautia caecimuris. RNAcentral's name for it is "tRNA-Ala". It matches the Rfam family "tRNA". From Rfam's summary of the family: Transfer RNA (tRNA) molecules are approximately 80 nucleotides in length. Their secondary structure includes four short double-helical elements and three loops (D, anti-codon, and T loops). The record is from RNAcentral. RNAcentral also lists the same sequence under 1 other name. Lineage: Bacteria; Bacillati; Bacillota; Clostridia; Lachnospirales; Lachnospiraceae.